GACGAACGCUGGCGGCGUGCUUAACACAUGCAAGUCGAACGGAAAGGCCCUGCUUUUGUGGGGUGCUCGAGUGGCGAACGGGUGAGUAACACGUGAGUAACCUGCCCUUGACUUUGGGAUAACUUCAGGAAACUGGGGCUAAUACCGGAUAGGAGCUCCUGCUGCAUGGUGGGGGUUGGAAAGUUUCGGCGGUUGGGGAUGGACUCGCGGCUUAUCAGCUUGUUGGUGGGGUAGUGGCUUACCAAGGCUUUGACGGGUAGCCGGCCUGAGAGGGUGGACGGCCACAAUGGGACUGAGAGACGGCGCAGAGGCCUACGGUAGGCAGCAGUGGGGAAUAUUGUACAAUGGGCGGAAGCGUGAUGCAGCAACGCCGCGUGCGGGAUGACCGCCUUCUGGUUGUAAACCGCUGUCGGCUGUGACGAAGCGUGAGUGACGGUAAUGGGUAAAGAAGCACCGGCUAACUACGUG
RNAcentral lists this ribosomal RNA (468 nucleotides) under uncultured bacterium. Its description in RNAcentral is "partial 16S ribosomal RNA". It matches the Rfam family "Bacterial small subunit ribosomal RNA", at positions 28 to 507 of the family's 1533-position model. The record is from RNAcentral.